Molecule: non-coding RNA, 335 nt
Filed under: Rhodococcoides kyotonense
Lineage: Bacteria; Bacillati; Actinomycetota; Actinomycetes; Mycobacteriales; Nocardiaceae
Description: Rhodococcus kyotonensis Bacterial small subunit ribosomal RNA
Rfam family: Bacterial small subunit ribosomal RNA
Source: Rfam by way of RNAcentral
UUUACGGAGAGUUUGAUCCUGGCUCAGGACGAACGCUGGCGGCGUGCUUAACACAUGCAAGUCGAGCGGUAAGGCCUUUCGGGGUACACGAGCGGCGAACGGGUGAGUAACACGUGGUGAUCUGCCCUGCACUCUGGGAUAAGCCUGGGAAACUGGGUCUAAUACCGGAUAUGACCAUUCCAUGCAUGUGGGGUGGUGGAAAGAUUUAUCGGUGCAGGAUGGGCCCGCGGCCUAUCAGCUUGUUGGUGGGGUAAUGGCCUACCAAGGCGACGACGGGUAGCCGACCUGAGAGGGUGACCGGCCACACUGGGACUGAGACACGGCCCAGACUCCUA